CGGGGSGGGCCUAUAMAUGCAAGUCGAGCGAAUGGAUUAAGAGCUUGCUCUUAUGAAGUUAGCGGCGGACGGGUGAGUAACACGUGGGUAACCUGCCCAUAAGACUGGGAUAACUCCGGGAAACCGGGGCUAAUACCGGAUAACAUUUUGAACCGCAUGGUUCGAAAUUGAAAGGCGGCUUCGGCUGUCACUUAUGGAUGGACCCGCGUCGCAUUAGCUAGUUGGUGAGGUAACGGCUCACCAAGGCAACGAUGCGUAGCCGACCUGAGAGGGUGAUCGGCCACACUGGGACUGAGACACGGCCCAGACUCCUACGGGAGGCAGCAGUAGGGAAUCUUCCGCAAUGGACGAAAGUCUGACGGAGCAACGCCGCGUGAGUGAUGAAGGCUUUCGGGUCGUAAAACUCUGUUGUUAGGGAAGAACAAGUGCUAGUUGAAUAAGCUGGCACCUUGACGGUACCUAACCAGAAAGCCACGGCUAACUACGUGCCAGCAGCCGCGGUAAUACGUAGGUGGCAAGCGUUAUCCGGAAUUAUUGGGCGUAAAGCGCGCGCAGGUGGUUUCUUAAGUCUGAUGUGAAAGCCCACGGCUCAACCGUGGAGGGUCAUUGGAAACUGGGAGACUUGAGUGCAGAAGAGGAAAGUGGAAUUCCAUGUGUAGCGGUGAAAUGCGUAGAGAUAUGGAGGAACACCAGUGGCGAAGGCGACUUUCUGGUCUKGUAACUGACACUGAAGCGCGAAAGCGUGGGGAGCAAACAGGAUUAGAUUACCCUKGGUUAGUCCACCGCCGUAAACGAUGRAUGGCUWAAGUGUUARAGGGUUCCGCUCUUUCARUGCUGGAGGUAACGCAAUUAASUMAYUCCSMCCUGGGAAGUWMSGGCUCSCSMAAGGC
RNAcentral lists this ribosomal RNA (890 nucleotides) under Bacillus sp. IODB-J1. Its description in RNAcentral is "partial 16S ribosomal RNA". It matches the Rfam family "Bacterial small subunit ribosomal RNA", at positions 38 to 873 of the family's 1533-position model. Lineage: Bacteria; Bacillati; Bacillota; Bacilli; Caryophanales; Bacillaceae. The record is from RNAcentral.